AACGAACGCUGGCGGCAUGCUUAUCACAUGCAAGUCGAACGGGCGCCUUCGGGCGUUAGUGGCGCACGGGUGAGUAACGCGUGGGAACCUGUCAUGAAGUGGGGAACAACCACUGGAAACGGUGGCUAAUACCGCAUACGCCCUGAGGGGCAAAGGCUUCGGCCGCUUUGUGAGGGCCCGCGUCCGAUUAGCUAGUUGGUGGGGUAACGGCCUACCAAGGCUACGAUCGGUAGCUGGUCUGAGAGGAUGAUCAGCCACACUGGGACUGAGACACGGCCCAGACUCCUACGGGAGGCAGCAGUGGGGAAUAUUGGACAAUGGGCGAAAGCCUGAUCCAGCAAUGCCGCGUGAGUGAAGAAGGCCUUAGGGUUGUAAAGCUCUUUCGCCUGCGACGAUGAUGACGGUAGCAGGAGAAGAAGCCCCGGCUAAUUCCGUGCCAGCAGCCGCGGUAAU
This 453-nucleotide ribosomal RNA is filed under the name uncultured bacterium. RNAcentral's name for it is "bacterial SSU rRNA". It matches the Rfam family "Bacterial small subunit ribosomal RNA", at positions 29 to 524 of the family's 1533-position model. The record is from RNAcentral.